RNAcentral lists this ribosomal RNA (492 nucleotides) under uncultured bacterium. RNAcentral describes it as "partial 16S ribosomal RNA". It matches the Rfam family "Bacterial small subunit ribosomal RNA", at positions 29 to 507 of the family's 1533-position model. The record is from RNAcentral.
AGUGAACGCUGGCGGUAGGCCUAACACAUGCAAGUCGACCGACUAAAGGGAGGUAGCUUGCUACUUCGGCAGGCGACUGGUGGGCGGGUGGGGCAAAGAUGGGACUGAUCUGGUUCUUGGGUCCAAACGUGGGCCCUCCUACGCUAUUCCUCCAUACGCCCUAAGGGUGCAAGCAUGGGACCUCCGGCCCUCGCGCGAUUAGAUGAGCCGAUGUCGGAUUAGCUAGUUGGCGGGGUAAAGGCCCACCAAGGCGACGCUCCGUAGCUGGUCUGAGAGGAUGAUCAGAUACACUGGAAGUGAGACACGGUCCAGACUCCUACGGGAGGCAGCAGUGGGGAAUAUUGGACAAUGGGCGCAAGCCUGAUCCAGCCAUACCGCGUGGGUGAAGAAGGGCUUCGGGUUGUAAAGCGCUUUUGUUGGGGAAGAAUUGCAGCAGGUUAAUCCCCCGCUGUUUCGACGGUACCAACAGAAUAAGCACCGGCUAACUUCGUG